RNAcentral lists this unclassified non-coding RNA (345 nucleotides) under soil metagenome. RNAcentral's name for it is "partial contains 5.8S ribosomal RNA, internal transcribed spacer 2, and large subunit ribosomal RNA". The stretch from base 1 to 120 matches the Rfam family "5.8S ribosomal RNA", at positions 35 to 154 of the family's 154-position model. The record is from RNAcentral.
GAUGAAGAACGUAGCGAAAUGCGAUAAGUAGUGUGAAUUGCAGAAUUCAGUGAAUCAUCGAGUCUUUGAACGCACAUUGCGCCCCCUGGUAUUCCGGGGGGCAUGCCUGUCCGAGCGUCAUUGCUGCCCUCAAGCACGGCUUGUGUGUUGGGCCUCCGUCCUCCUCCCGGGGGACGGGCCCGAAAGGCAGCGGCGGCACCGCGUCCGGUCCUCGAGCGUAUGGGGCUUCGUCACCCGCUCUUGUAGGCCCGGCCGGCGCUUGCCGACACAUCAAUCUUGUUUCCAGGUUGACCUCGGAUCAGGUAGGGAUACCCGCUGAACUUAAGCAUAUCAAUAAGCGGAGGA